Molecule: ribosomal RNA, 1372 nt
Filed under: uncultured bacterium
Lineage: Bacteria
Description: bacterial SSU rRNA
Rfam family: Bacterial small subunit ribosomal RNA
Source: RNAcentral
AGAGUUUGAUCCUGGCUCAGGAUGAACGCUGGCGGCGUGCUUAACACAUGCAAGUCGAACGAAGACGUCUGAGUGCUUGCACUUGGAUGGACUGAGUGGCGGACGGGUGAGUAACGCGUGGGUAACCUGCCUUAUACAGGGGGAUAACAGUUGGAAACGACUGCUAAUACCGCAUAAGCGCACAGUAUCGCGUGAUACAGUGUGAAAAACUCCGGUGGUAUAAGAUGGACCCGCGUCUGAUUAGCUUGUUGGUGAGGUAACGGCCCACCAAGGCAACGAUCAGUAGCCGGCCUGAGAGGGUGAACGGCCACAUUGGGACUGAGACACGGCCCAAACUCCUACGGGAGGCAGCAGUGGGGAAUAUUGCACAAUGGGGGAAACCCUGAUGCAGCGACGCCGCGUGAGUGAGGAAGUAUUUCGGUAUGUAAAACUCUAUCAGCAGGGAAGAUAACGACGGUACCUGACUAAGAAGCACCGGCUAAAUACGUGCCAGCAGCCGCGGUAAUACGUAUGGUGCAAGCGUUAUCCGGAUUUACUGGGUGUAAAGGGUGCGUAGGUGGUAUGGCAAGUCAGAAGUGAAAGGCUGGGGCUCAACCCCCGGGACUGCUUUUGAAACUGUCAAACUAGAGUACAGGAGAGGAAAGCGGAAUUCCUAGUGUAGCGGUGAAAUGCGUAGAUAUUAGGAGGAACACCAGUGGCGAAGGCGGCUUUCUGGACUGAAACUGACACUGAGGCACGAAAGCGUGGGGGGCAAAUAGGAUUAGAUACCCUAGUAGUCCACGCCGUAAACGAUGAGAACUAGGUGUUGGGGGAAUAACUCAGUGCCGCAGUUAACGCAAUAAGUUCUCCGCCUGGGGAGUAUGCACGCAAGUGUGAAACUCAAAGGAAUUGACGGGGGCCCGCACAAGCGGUGGAGUAUGUGGUUUAAUUCGAAGCAACGCGAAGAACCUUACCAGGCCUUGACAUCCCUUGCAGAGGUAUAGAGAUAUAUCCGAGGUUACCAAGGAGACAGGUGGUGCAUGGUUGUCGUCAGCUCGUGUCGUGAGAUGUUGGGUUAAGUCCCGCAACGAGCGCAACCCUUGUGAUAUGUUACUAACAUUGAGUUGAGGACUCAUAUCAGACUGCCGGUGAUAAACCGGAGGAAGGUGGGGAUGACGUCAAAUCAUCAUGCCCCUUAUGGCCUGGGCUACACACGUACUACAAUGGCGUCUACAAAGAGCGGCAAGCCUGUGAAGGCAAGCGAAUCUCAUAAAGGACGUCUCAGUUCGGAUUGAAGUCUGCAACCCGACUUCAUGAAGCUGGAAUCGCUAGUAAUCGCGAAUCAGCAUGUCGCGGUGAAUACGUUCUCGGGCCUUGCACUCACCGCCCGUCA